Long non-coding RNA from Oncorhynchus tshawytscha (Chinook salmon), 415 nucleotides. The record is from Ensembl. NCBI's taxonomy places the organism in Eukaryota, Metazoa, Chordata, Actinopteri, Salmoniformes, Salmonidae.
GGCUGCCUGUAUUGUGUUGUUGAAUUAAAGAAGUAGUCCUUGGUUAUUUAGUUUAAAGCUACAUUCUGGGAUUUGAAUGACAACAAAACCGCGUCCUGCGGUGUUCUACACAUCUACACUACUAUAACAGGUCAGUUAUCUGGUGAUAGUAUAGUGUUGACAUCUACACUACUAUAACAGGUCAGUUAUCUGGUGAUAGUAUAGUGUUGACAUCUACACUACUAUAACAGGUCAGUUAUCUGGUGAUAGUAUAGUGUUGACAUCUACACUACUAUAACAGGUCAGUUAUCUGGUGAUAGUAUAGUUCUGACAUCUACACUACUAUAACAGGUCAGUUAUCUGGUGAUAGUAUAGUGUUCUACACAUCUACACUACUGUAACAGGUCAGUUAUCUGGUGAUAGUAUAGUGUUGACA